Molecule: long non-coding RNA, 1872 nt
Organism: Homo sapiens (human)
Lineage: Eukaryota; Metazoa; Chordata; Mammalia; Primates; Hominidae
Product: long intergenic non-protein coding RNA 1936
Source: Ensembl
CCAACACUUUGGGAGGCCGAGGCGGGUGGAUCACCUGAGGUCAGGGGUUCAAGACCAGCCUGGGCAACAUGGCAAAACCCCAUCUCUACAAAAAAUACAAAAAUUAGCCCGACGUGAUGAUGAGAAGAGAAUGAGCCAUGUGUUUCCUGAAACAUCCAGUGGCCUCACCGGAGAAUCUGCAAGAGCCGGUAAACCCAGAAGCUUGGCCGUCCAUUCCUGGAAGCAGACAUUGUGUCUUCGUCCACCAAGCCCCUGGCUCUCAACACUCACUGUGGUGGCAAGAACAUGGCACCUUGACCCUACACAGUUCUUCCAUUUUUCAGAAGCAGCUCCAGACCCUUGUCCCCAGGUUUUGACCCCACCCAGACCUUUGCCUGGGACGGAAAGCUGCUUCAUUUCAGGAGACACCUGAAGUACCUGGGUUGGUUCAGAGACUACCAGAAGUUUUUGGACUUCUUCUAGUCCUUUAAUGGCCAAAAGGACUCAAGGGCCUGGCAUGUAAUGGAAAAGGCAUCACCUCUCUCAUGGAACGCAGCUGGAAGGACCAACCCCUUCAUAGUUACAGGAAUCUGAGCUAUGAAGACACUAGCCAGGCAACAAGGCCCUGGGCUCAGACACAGAUGAAGUUUCUCUGGAAGAGAAAUCUGGCCUGUUACAGACCUGGGAAGUGCCAAGGCUUAGCUCCUGAGAAGGAUUGCUGGUGCUGACAGCUGGGAGUCAGGACUCCAGGGCCACUUGUAUGGAAGCUGGUGCCCGUGGUGCAGGAGGAUGGGGGCUCUGGAUUCUGCACCACCCCCCAUAGACUGGCCCCUCAGAGGGCUCCUGUGGUGUCAGAGCCCUCUCACAAGCGCCUGCCGUGGUUAUCAGCUGAAGCUGAGUGCUUGUGGAGUGUGGACAGAGGGCAGAGGGAGAGAAGCAGCCAUGGGCUUCCUGCCAGGAAGCUCAGCAGCUCCGAGGAGACUGGAGAGUCAUGGGACACAGUGCGUCCUCCCCAGAACAGCCUCCAGCCUGCCAGUUCAGAGCACACGCUUGGAGGCAGGAAGGCUGAGGUCCAACCCCAUUCCUGCUAUGGGCCAGCUGAGAGCUGUGGACAAGUCAUUCGGCUUCUCUGAGCCGCAGUCUUCUCACCUGUAAAGCGGGGGUAAUAAUACCCUCCUCACAAGGUUGUUGCAAGGCUUUGUGGGGAAAAAUACAAAGUGCACAGAGUUGUUCAGUAAGGCGUGGGCCUGCGGGGAAAGGCGGGGCCAUGAGCUGGCCAGGGGAGGAAAGGACAGAUGGGGACUCCAGAUAAUGAAAGCAUCUUUGCAUCCUCAAUGAUAUAAUCUGGGUUUGUUGUUGUUGUUGUUGUUUGAGACAGAGUCUCGCUCUGUCCCCCAGGCUGGAGUGCAGUGGUGCAAUUUCAGCUCACUGCAACCUGUACUUCCCGGGUUCAAGUGAUUCUCCUGCCUCAGCUUCCUGAGUAGCUGGGAUUACAGGUGCCCGCCACCAUGCCUGGCUAAUUUUUCUGUUUUUAAUAGAGACAGGGUUUCGCCAUGUUGGCCAGGAUGGCCUCGAGCUCCUGACCUCAGCUGAUCCACCCUCCUCAGCCUCCCAAAGUGCUGCGAUUACAGGCAUGAGCCACCGCGCCCGGCCCAUCUGGAGUUUUUUUGUUUGUUUGUUCCUCAUAAAGGCUACGAGGAGAGGAAGGGGCCUAGAACACAGGAUGGUGGAAGAGGGGCUCAUGGGUGGAGGGGAGGAGAGCAGAUGAGCAGGGACCCUCCCCCUUCCUCGGCAACCAUGGGGUUUGCCACACAUAUAUUUUUGAUGUCCCAUGUAUCAGGUGGAGAUGUCAACUUCUAUGAACUGAAAUAAACUGUUUCCCUAUGUGUAAAA